Molecule: ribosomal RNA, 253 nt
Filed under: uncultured bacterium
Lineage: Bacteria
Description: partial 16S ribosomal RNA
Rfam family: Bacterial small subunit ribosomal RNA
Source: RNAcentral
UACGAAGGGGGCUAGCGUUGCUCGGAAUUACUGGGCGUAAAGGGAGCGUAGGCGGGUUAUCAAGUUGGAGGUGAAAGCCCAGGGCUCAACCUUGGAAUUGCCUUCAAAACUGAUAGCCUAGAGUAUGAUAGAGGUAUGUGGAACUCCGAGUGUAGAGGUGAAAUUCGUAGAUAUUCGGAAGAACACCAGUGGCGAAGGCGACUUACUGGACACAUAUUGACGCUGAGGUGCGAAAGCGUGGGGAGCAAACAGG